RNA transcript from Chiroxiphia lanceolata (lance-tailed manakin), 8571 nucleotides. It is a transcript of the gene named zinc finger protein 236, with no coding region annotated. The transcript is spliced from 33 exons. The record is from RefSeq and is a predicted model, not a curated record. NCBI's taxonomy places the organism in Eukaryota, Metazoa, Chordata, Aves, Passeriformes, Pipridae.
GCCGGACCCGCCCGCUCGUCCCCGCCCCUCCUUCCCCCCCUCCGCCGUUCCAAGUGUCUGUGUGUGCGUGCGCCAGGGGGGCGGGAGGGACGGGGAGGAGGGGGCGGCCAUGCCGAGGGGGCGGCCCCCCGAGCCCGGCGGGGAGAGUGGCGAGCCCGGCGCCGAGGCAGAUGAUGUUCUGACACCGAAUAUAGAGAACGGAAAUUUUCCCUACCAAGUACCUAACUUGCAUAAGUGUGAGAUCUGUUUGCUGUCUUUUCCAAAAGAGACCCAGUUUCAGCGCCAUAUGAGGGAUCAUGAGCAAAAUGACAAGCCUCACCGAUGUGACCAGUGUCCGAUGUCAUUUAAUGUUGAAUUCAACUUGACACUUCAUAAAUGUACUCACAAUGGCGAAGAUCCUACGUGUCCUGUGUGCAACAAGAAAUUCUCCAGAGUAGCCAGUCUGAAAGCUCAUAUAAUGCUACAUGAGAAAGAGGAGAAUCUUAUCUGUUCAGAGUGUGGAGAUGAAUUCACUUUACAGAGUCAGCUGUCCAUACACAUGGAAGAACAUCGUCAAGAAUUGGCAGGCAGCAGGAUCCACAGCUGCAAAUCUUGCAAAAAGGAAUUUGAAACUUCCUCACAGCUAAAGGAGCACAUGAAAACUCACUAUAAAAUAAGAGUAUCAAAUACUAGAUCUUACAACAGAAACAUUGACAGAAGUGGGUUUACCUAUUCCUGUCCUCACUGUGGAAAGACGUUCCAGAAACCAAGUCAGUUAACACGACAUGUUAGAAUACACACAGGUGAAAGACCAUUCAAAUGCAGCGAGUGUGGGAAAGCCUUUAACCAGAAGGGAGCUCUGCAGACUCACAUGAUCAAGCACACAGGGGAGAAGCCCCACGCCUGUGCCUUUUGUCCCGCAGCCUUUUCCCAGAAAGGCAAUCUGCAGUCGCACAUACAGAGAGUGCAUUCAGAGGUGAAGAAUGGCCCUACAUACAACUGUACAGAAUGUAGCUGUGUCUUCAAAAGCUUGGGUAGUUUAAAUACACAUAUCAGCAAGAUGCACAUGGGUGGUCCACAGAAUUCUGCGAGUGCUUCAACAGAUGUAUCUCAUGUUACAGCAGACCCUGUCACCCAGCCUUUAACAACAUCCCCUGCUAAUCUUUUGCAACCUGUUGAUAACAAAUGGAAGAAUGCCACACAUUUUCGGUCUCCGCUUCUUCAACAGACAGAAAACCAGGUGUCUCCAGCUGCUGCUCACCAAGGUCAGCAGGCUGUCACUGAUGUCAUUCAGCAGCUCCUUGAGUUAUCAGAACCAGGUCCUGUAGAAAAUAACCAACCUCAACAACCUGGUCAACAGCUCAACAUUGCGGUGGGAAUCAGUAGAGAUAUUUUGCAGCAAGCGUUAGAGAACAGUGGGUUGUCUUCAAUUCCUGUCUCUGCACAUUCUACUGACUGCAGCCAGGCUAAGACUGCUGGGCCCCAGGAUCAGAACCCAGAUGUCCCAACUCUCUCAAAUCAUCAAGCUGAUUCUAGUAAUGCAGAACAAGAUAAGGAGCAAGAGAGUACAGAGAAACUAGAUAAAAAAGAAAAAAAGUUUAUUAAGAAAAAAUCACCAUUUUUACCUGGUUCUAUACGUGAAGAAAAUGGAAUAAGGUGGCAUGUUUGUCCAUAUUGCUCUAAAGAAUUUAAAAAACCAAGUGAUCUAGUGCGCCACAUUCGCAUUCAUACCCACGAGAAGCCAUUCAAGUGUCCCCAGUGUUUCCGCGCCUUUGCAGUUAAGAGUACUCUAACAGCGCACAUAAAAACACACACUGGCAUCAAAGCUUUCAAGUGCCAAUUUUGUAUGAAAAGCUUUUCCACCUCAGGGAGUUUAAAAGUUCACAUUCGUCUACAUACAGGUGUUAGACCUUUUGCUUGUCCUCAUUGUGACAAAAAGUUUAGAACAUCGGGCCAUCAGAAAACUCACAUCACUUCACAUUUUAAACAUACUGAACUAAGAAAGCUGCGACAUCAACGUAAACCUGCAAAAGUUCGAGUAGGAAAGUCGAGUGGUCCAGUACCAGACAUUCCUUUGCAAGAGCCCAUACUCAUAACUGAUUUAGGUCUUAUCCAGCCAAUCCCAAGGAAUAGCCAGGUCUUCCAAAAUUAUUUUAACAGUAAUUUUGUAAAUAAUGCAGAGAGACCAUACAAGUGUUUUUAUUGCCAUCGAGCCUAUAAAAAAUCUUGUCAUCUAAAACAACACAUCAGGUCACAUACUGGUGAAAAGCCAUUUAAGUGCUCUCAGUGUGGAAGAGGUUUUGUGUCAGCUGGAGUUCUGAAAGCACAUAUUAGAACACACACUGGAUUGAAAGCUUUCAAGUGUGUUGUAUGCAAUGGGGCCUUCACUACUGGUGGUAGCCUUAGGCGACAUAUGGGGAUCCAUAAUGAUCUUCGACCGUAUAUGUGUCCGUAUUGUCAAAAGACAUUCAAAACAUCACUAAACUGUAAAAAACACAUGAAGACUCAUAGAUAUGAACUUGCACAGCAACUUCAGCAGAAUCAGCAAUCCUCUUCGAUAGAUGAUUCUACAGUAGAUCAGCAGAGCAUUCAUGUUUCUACACAGAUGCAAGUGGAGAUUCAAAGUGAUGAGCUACAGCAGUCAGAAGCUGUUGCAACAGAUCAACAGGCUAUUUUAGAGUUAGACCAGCAACCAGUAGUAGGCACAGAAGAAACAGCACUAGAACAACAGUUGGCUGACCAACCUUUAGAGCAAGAUGAGGAUAGAUUUGUGACAUCCCAGCAUGCUUUACAGGAAAACAUCACUCAGUUUGAACAACAGGCUAUAACACAGCAGCCAUUUGAUCAACAGGGCUUAUCACAAGGUUUUACAGUGAAUGACAGCUACAAUCAACAGACUCAAUUUCCAGCUGUACAGCAGCUGCAGGAUUCAAGCACACUUGAAUCUCAGGCUCUUUCAACGAGUUACCAUCCACCAGCCCUUCUUCAGGUUCCAAAUACAGACACUAUUAAUGUAACUACUCGCUUGAUACAAGAUCAGUCACCACAAGAAGAACUUGAAUUGCAUACCCAACGGCCUCAUUUUCUUGAGGAUAAUGAAGAUCAAAGUAGGCGUUCAUAUAGAUGUGAAUAUUGCAACAAGGGUUUUAAGAAAUCCAGCCAUUUGAAACAACACGUACGAUCACAUACUGGUGAGAAACCUUAUAAAUGCCAACUCUGUGGACGUGGUUUUGUUUCCUCAGGAGUUCUUAAGUCACAUGAGAAGACUCAUACAGGAGUUAAAGCAUUCAGCUGUAGCAUUUGCAAUACCUCCUUCACAACUAAUGGCAGCCUUACCAGGCACAUGGCAACUCACAUGAGCAUGAAGCCUUACAAGUGCCCAUUCUGUGAUGAAAGCUUUCGAACAACUGUUCACUGCAAAAAACAUAUGAAAAAACAUCAGACAGUCUCCUCAGCUGUAGCAGCAGCUACAGAUACAGGAGGGGGAGUUGCAUGUGUUGAAGAUGAUGAUGAAAACUCUGAAAGAACUUCCAGAAAAUCUCGUCCUGGUGUCAUAACUUUUACAGAAGAAGAAACAGCAGAACUGGCAAAGAUUAGGCCUCAAGAAAGUGCCACUGUCUCAGAAAAAGUUCUUGUCCAGUCUGCUGCAGAGAAAGACAGAAUUAGUGAGAUCAAAGAUAAGCAAGCAGAACUGGAAGCAGAACCCAAAUAUGCCAACUGUUGUAGUUAUUGUCCCAAAAGUUUUAAAAAACCCAGUGAUUUAGUCAGGCAUGUUCGUAUCCAUACUGGAGAGAAGCCGUAUAAGUGCGAAGAAUGUGGAAAGAGUUUCACUGUAAAAUCCACUCUGGAUUGUCAUGUUAAAACACACACAGGCCAGAAGCUUUUCUGUUGUCAUGUGUGCAGUAAUUCUUUUUCUACAAAAGGGAGUCUAAAAGUCCACAUGCGUCUGCAUACAGGAGCAAAGCCUUUCAAAUGUCCACACUGUGAUUUACGGUUUCGUACUUCGGGGCGCAGAAAAACCCACAUACAGUGUCAUUAUAAACCGGAGGCAAAGAAAGUUAGGAAGCCUGUUGCCCGCACUUCAACUGAGGGACUGCAACCAGUCAGCCUUCUUAAUUCAUCCUCUACAGACCCCAAUGUUUUCAUCAUGAAUAACUCCGUUUUGACAAGUCAGUUUGAUCAAAAUUUACUUCAGCAAGGACUUGUGGGCCAGGCUAUUCUGCCUGCUUCAGUGUCAGCUGGAGGUGACUUAACUGUGUCCUUGACAGAUGGUAGCUUGGCCACUCUUGAAGGAAUACAGCUACAACUUGCUGCUAAUCUGGUUGGACAAAAUGUUCAAAUUUCUGGAAUAGAUGCCAACAGUAUUAACAACAUAACAUUACAGAUCGAUCCAAGUAUUCUACAGCAGACGUUGCAGCAGAGUAAUUUACUUACUCAGCAACUAACUGGAGAUCCCAGUAUGGCUCCACAGAAUCCCUCCCUCCAGGCAACAGAAAGUGCAGUGCCAGCUAAUGUGGUUAUUCAGCCCAUAUCAGGCCUGUCUUUGCAGCCCACGGUAACAUCAUCUGCUAAUAUGACAAUAGGAUCCCUGUCUGAGCAGGAGUCUGUGCUGACAACCAGCGCAAAUGGUGCACAGGACAUUUCUCAAGUCAUAACUUCACAGGGUAUGGUGUCAUCUUCAAAUGGACAACAUGAGAUAAUGUUGACCAUAAAUAAUUCCAGUUUGAGUCAAGUUCUAGCUCAUGCUUCAGGCUCUACUAAUGUGACCUCAUCAGGAAGUCCUCAAGAAAUCACUCUUACAAUAUCUGGCCAAGAUCUUAUUCAGCAUAAUUCUGGAGGCAGUGAUCUGAAUACUGGCUUAAGGCUAACAGCGCCAACCAUCAGCAGUCAGACUACAGGUGCUACAUUAACUAUAAGCAAUGACCAGCUGCUUUCUCAGGGCCCUUCACUAAACGCUCCAGAACUUAAUACAACAGGUGGAACAAACCUUCCUUCAACAACACCCAUAUCACAGACUGCAGUUUCUGCCCAGAAUUUGGUAAUGUCUUCAUCAGGAGUUGGAGGAGAUGGUAGUGUCACUUUGACUCUUGCUGACACUCAGGGAAUGUUGUCAGGUGGUCUUGAUGCAGUUACACUUAAUAUCACUUCACAGGGUCAACAGUUCCCUGCUAUACUCACAGAUUCCAAUCUCACUAGCCAAAGUGGAUCAGGCUCACAGCAAGUUAUACUGGUGAGCCAUACACCCCAUCCAGCACCUGCAAAUUCUGAUGAAAUAACGUAUCAGGUGACAGAGGUUUCCCCUAAUGUGACUAAAAGCAGUCAAGCAGAAAAAGAAAGUCGUGGGCACCAGUGUUUUGAGUGUAGUCAAACCUUUUAUUCAGUGACCAUGCUGACGCACCAUUGUAAGGAGGUUCAUGGCAAGGAACGAAUACACGUUUGCCACAUCUGUAAUAAAGCCUUUAAGCGGGCAACGCAUCUCAAGUGUGAGAGGUAGGCAGCGAUGAAGUUGCAAUGAGAAGUUCAAAGGCAGUCACAAGAGACUUCAUGGCCUUGGAACAACUUUUUAAGGGAUCAGAAGAACAAGUAAUCUUUUCUUCUAUCCUUCCAGUUGCAGGGAAUGAUGAAGGAAGAGACAGCAGAUCAAUAACUAUCUGAGACUGGCAUCAGCAGCAAAAUGUUGGGGUUUUUGAUCGUGGAUUGGUCCACAUGACAGCAGGCCUGCUGCAGAUGGGCUACACUUGUCUCAAAGGGGUAAAAGGAUCUUUGAGGAGUUAGCGAGGCUUAUUGAAAGAGCUUUAAACUAGGUUUGUAGGGGGAAAGGGAUAAAACCAGUCUCACUAGAGAUAAGCUUGUGGGUGGCACACCAAUGUUUGAGGAAUCAUAUGCUAGCAAGGCCCUUCAGUCUGCUCCACAGUGGAGCAUGUUUGAAGCGUCCCUGUACCAGUGCAUGCAGCACCGUAGACACCUCAGUGGAGGGAGGGGAAAUGGCCAAUGACCUAAGACACAUGUCUAUAGGGCAGGAUGGAAUCCACCCAUGCAUACUGAGGGACCUGUCAGAAGAGCUUGCCAAACCACUUUCAAUCAUUUAUGAGCAGCCCUGGCUCCAGGGAGGUCUCAGUUGACUGGAGUUUAACAAAUGUGACACUUGUCUACAAGAAGGGCUGGAAAUAGGAUCCAGGAAACUACAGGCUUGUCAACCUGAUCUCAGUGCCAGGAAAGGUUAUAGAUUAACUCAUCUUGAGUGCCAUCAUGUGGCACAUACAGGACAGUCAGUGGAUCAGGCAUAGCCAGCAUGGGUUUAUGAAAGGCAGGUUCUGCUUGAGUAAUUUGAUUUCCUUCUGUGACAAGGUGACUUGCUCAGUGGUGGAGGGAAAGGCUGUGGAUGUUGUCUACCUGAACUUUAGCAAAGCCUUUGACACCAUUUCCCAGAGCAUUCUCAUAGAGAAGCAGUCUUCCAAUGGCUUGGACCGGUGCACUGAUCACUGUCUGUAUGGCCACGCCCAGAGUGGUGAUGAAUAGAGUUACAUCCAGCUGGUGGCCAGUCCCAAGGGGUGUUCCCCAGGGCUCAGUACUGGGACCACUUCUAUUUAAUAUCUUUAUCAAUGAUCUGGACAAGGGGAAUCAAGUGCACUCUCAAUAAGUUUGCAGAGGACACUAAGUUGUGGGGGAGUGUUGAUCUGCUGGAGGGCAGAAAGGCUCUGCAGAGGGAUUUGGACAGUAUGAGAUUCAACAGGCGAAGUGACAGGUCCUGCACUUGGGUCACAAGAAUGCUAUAGGCCAGGGGUGGAGUGGGUGUGAAGCAACCCAGUAGAAAAAGAGCUGGGUGUACUGGUCAGCAACAGUUGAACAAGAUCCAGCAGUGUGCCCAGGUGACCAAAAAAACCAGUGGCAUCUUGGCUUGUAUCAGAAAUUGCGUGGCCAGCAGGACCAGGGUAGUGAUAGUCCCCCUGUACUUGCCACUGGUGAGGUCUCACCUCAAAUUCGGCUUUGGGGCCCUCUCUUCAAGAAAGACAAUGAGAUCCUGGAGUGUGUCCAGGGAAGGGCAGCAGAGCUAGUGAAGGGUGCCAAUUACAGGUCUCUAGUGAGGAGCAACUGAGGGAGCUGGGGUUGUUUAGCCUGGAGGAAAGGAGGCUUGGGGAAGACCUUAUCGCUACAAAUACCUGAAAGGAGGAUGUAGGCAGAUGGGGGUCAACCUCUUCUCCAAGGUAACAAGGAAUAGGACAAGAAGAAAUGACCUCAGUUGUGCCAGGUGAGGUUUAGAUUGGCUAUUAGGGAAAAAUUUCUUCACUGAAAGCUUGUCAGGCAUUGGCACAGGCUUUACAGGGAGGUGGUUGAGUACCCAGCUCUGAAGAUAUUAAAAUAUGUACAUGUGGCACUGUGAACAGUGGCUUAGUGGACAUAGUUUAGUGGUAGGUUAGGACAGUGCUGGGUUAAUGUGUGGCUUUGAUCUUAAGGGUCUUAAAGGACAGUUUCAUUUACCACUGGACCAUCAUGUACUAAAACAAAUUCCACACAUUAUCAGACUCUUCUUCAUUAAGGUGUUCCAGAAUGUCAGCUGUAAGCAGCCUUUAACAGGAAAUUCAGCAAAGAGGAAACCAUGGGGUUUGGCUUAGGGUUUUGGGAAGGGUUCAGUGACCUCUUACUCAUGGUUUUCAUUUUAUACUGGAUAGUAUUUUGGAGAUCACCAGAAAUAUUAAGGGCACUGCCAGACUUCAGGCUUUUCAGAAAAUCCAAAUAAGAGGUAAGGGUAUCAGUCUUUAGAUACCAGUACUUAAUUAUAUGGGGUUUUUUCCAAAGGUAUCAGUACCAGCAGUUUCACAGUUAUCCACAGGAAAAUCUUCUUUAGAGAUUAUGUAUGAACACCCCUACCACCCACCCUGCCCCCAGUGUCAAAAAUUUUCAGUCCGGUGACUUCAGUUCCCCUUCUGAUGUGGGUGACUGUUCUGAUUUUACAGCUUCAGAGAGGAGAAUCUUAAGAUGUGCAUUGGACUAAACUGUCCAAUUCCAUAUCAGUAUGCAGUGGAAAUAUCUGCAAGUUAACUGUAGAUAGUAAAUAAAGCACAGACAUGAUUCUAAGAUGAAAUUAAAACAGCACAUCUUAUUAAAACAAUGGAAUGAAAUGAACUUUCUGCCAAUCUUUCAGAGGUGGUUACAAUUAAUGUUUCAGGAUAGGUAGAGUGGGAAUAGGAGUGACAUACUAAUGCAUGUGUGAGGGGCUAAGGGCCCUUUCAAAGAAGGUUUCCUGUUCUUCUUCUCUAAUUAGAUAAUGCUGGUUUGGAACCCCAAGGUAGUUCCUAGCUGAUGAAUAUGAGAAUUACACAAAUAAACUUGUAAAAUGUUACAUGAACAAUCAAUGAAAUACUAAAUAUGUCUAUAAAGAGGUACUUGAAGUUCAGAGCACUGUAUUCCCAUGAACUCUUUUUCAAAAGUAUAUGUAUUUUACAGGAAAAUUGUAAGAGAUUGACAGAUCAGUGGACCUGAACUGCAUCACAAACUGUUCAGAGAAAGAUGACAGAAAGUUUUAUGGUGGCUAUCUGAAUGCUAUCUUGUUUGCUUUCAAGUAGAAAAUGUGUAAACAAAUUCUACAGAUAC